AGACCAAAGUGGGGGACCUUCGGGCCUCAUGCCAUCAGAUGUGCCCAGAUGGGAUUAGCUAGUAGGUGGGGUAACGGCUCACCUAGGCGACGAUCCCUAGCUGGUCUGAGAGGAUGACCAGCCACACUGGAACUGAGACACGGUCCAGACUCCUACGGGAGGCAGCAGUGGGGAAUAUUGCACAAUGGGGUGCAAGCGUUAAUCGGAAUUACUGGGCGUAAAGCGCACGCAGGCGGUCUGUCAAGUCGGAUGUGAAAUCCCCGGGCUCAACCUGGGAACUGCAUUCGAAACUGGCAGGCUAGAGUCUUGUAGAGGGGGGUAGAAUUCCAGGUGUAGCGGUGAAAUGCGUAGAGAUCUGGAGGAAUACCGGUGGCGAAGGCGGCCCCCUGGACAAAGACUGACGCUCAGGUGCGAAAGCGUGGGGAGCAAACAGGAUUAGAUACCCUGGUAGUCCACGCCGUAAACGAUGUCGAUUUGGAGGUUGUGCCCUGAGGCGUGGCUUCCGGAGCUAACGCGUUAAAUCGACCGCCUGGGGAGUACGGCCGCAAGGUUAAAACUCAAAUGAAUUGACGGGGGCCCGCACAAGCGGUGGAGCAUGUGGUUUAAUUCGAUGCAACGCGAAGAACCUUACCUGGUCUUGACAUCCACAGAACUUUCCAGAGAUGGAUUGGUGCCUUCGGGAACUGUGAGACAGGUGCUGCAUGGCUGUCGUCAGCUCGUGUUGUGAAAUGUUGGGUUAAGUCCCGCAACGAGCGGUAGAUCAGAAUGCUA
Molecule: ribosomal RNA, 771 nt
Filed under: Klebsiella pneumoniae
Lineage: Bacteria; Pseudomonadati; Pseudomonadota; Gammaproteobacteria; Enterobacterales; Enterobacteriaceae
Description: bacterial SSU rRNA
Rfam family: Bacterial small subunit ribosomal RNA
Source: RNAcentral